Molecule: ribosomal RNA, 253 nt
Filed under: uncultured bacterium
Lineage: Bacteria
Description: partial 16S ribosomal RNA
Rfam family: Bacterial small subunit ribosomal RNA
Source: RNAcentral
UACGGAGGGAGCUAGCGUUGUUCGGGAUUACUGGGCGUAAAGCGCACGUAGGCGGCUAUUCAAGUCGGGGGUGAAAGCCCGGGGCUCAACCCCGGAACUGCCCUCGAAACUAGAUAGCUAGAAUCUUGGAGAGGCGAGUGGAAUUCCGAGUGUAGAGGUGAAAUUCGUAGAUAUUCGGAAGAACACCAGUGGCGAAGGCGACUCGCUGGACAAGUAUUGACGCUGAGGUGCGAAAGCGUGGGGAGCAAACAGG